AAACAGCUUUUCUAAUUUCUCAUGUUAUUGUACAUAAGCAAAGCAACCUAGUUAUGUCUUGGGUAGGUGUUCUUAUAGCCGUGAGAUGCUACUGACUUGAGGUGGAUGCAGAAAAAAAUGGAACCACUGCCUUAAUGGGAUGGAAUAUACUAAACAUGCAUUCUUAAAUCCUAGUGCUGGGUUUGUUUGGUUUUUUUUGUUUUGUCCUCAUGAGGCUUAGCAUCUAAGGGAGACAGGCAUGAAUUAACAGAAGUGGCAUUCUGG
This 264-nucleotide long non-coding RNA is filed under the name Homo sapiens (human). Its description in RNAcentral is "non-protein coding lnc-CD101-3:1". The record is from RNAcentral. Lineage: Eukaryota; Metazoa; Chordata; Mammalia; Primates; Hominidae.